This 442-nucleotide long non-coding RNA is filed under the name Vigna radiata. RNAcentral's name for it is "long non-coding RNA (VRAD_LNC012384)". Lineage: Eukaryota; Viridiplantae; Streptophyta; Magnoliopsida; Fabales; Fabaceae. The record is from RNAcentral.
GAUGGAUUUUCGGUCACCCGCAUAUGUGAAGAGAUUUGAGGGGAUUGAAUGUAAAAGGACUUAUUUGCCCUUCGAUUUCAAGUGCAUAUUUUGGCUUUAUUUUUUUUAUUUUUAAUGUUGCAGAGAUGCAGACGAGGUUGAUGUCCGUACGAAGAUGAAGAAAAAGAUGGUUAAAGAUGAAUAUGAAUAUUUGAGGACGAAGAAGAUGAAGAAGUAAUAGUUGAAAAUGAGAUUUGAAGAGAGGAGUAUUCGGUCAUGCAACCCAUAUUCGGUUCCAGGAUUAAGAAGAAAAAUAUAGGAACCUGUAUUCGCUUCCCUUUUCUUUUUAUUUGGUUCCCAAGCAUUGUAUACAAAGACAUUCUGUGUGUUUUUGUUUUUGGUUGUGAUUGUUUUUUAUUGCCCUCUGUUGUUGUUUGCAUGAAAUACUGGGAAAUGUUCUUAA